Molecule: ribosomal RNA, 491 nt
Filed under: uncultured bacterium
Lineage: Bacteria
Description: bacterial SSU rRNA
Rfam family: Bacterial small subunit ribosomal RNA
Source: RNAcentral
AGGAUGAACGCUGGCGGCGUGCCUAACACAUGCAAGUCGAACGGAAACUAAGCGCUUCGGAGACUUCGGUCAAUGUUGCUUGGUUUAGUGGCGGACGGGUGAGUAACGCGUGGAUAACCUGCCUCAUACAGGGGGAUAACAGUUAGAAAUGACUGCUAAUACCGCAUAAGCGCACGGAAUCGCAUGUUUCUGUGUGAAAAGCUCCGACGGUAUGAGAUGGAUCCGCGUCUGAUUAGCUAGUUGCGGGGUAACAGCCCACCAAGGCGACGAUCAGUAGCCGGCCUGAGAGGGUGAACGGCCACAUUGGGACUGAGACACGGCCCAAACUCCUACGGAGGCAGCAGUGGGGGAUAUUGCACAAUGGGGGAAACCCUGAUGCAGCCGACGCCGCGUGAGUGAAGAAGUAUUUCGGUAUGUAAAGCUCUAUCAGCAGGGAAGAUAAUGACGGUACCUGACUAAGAAGCACCGGCUAAAUACGUGCCAGCCGCAGC